Hyla sarda is the source of this 1149-nucleotide long non-coding RNA. RefSeq lists it as uncharacterized. The transcript has 4 exons. NCBI's taxonomy places the organism in Eukaryota, Metazoa, Chordata, Amphibia, Anura, Hylidae. The record is from RefSeq and is a predicted model, not a curated record.
UUUUCUCCUGAUUCUCCUGCAGAGGUCCAUCUACACGCUGGUUCUCCGAUCACCUUUGAUCAUCAGCCGGGAUAUGGUGCAGCAGCCGUGAAUAGUGCCAGUUGGCACACUACAUAUGCCAUCACAGGUGUUCAACUCUUUGUUCAACUCCAUAAGGAUCAUGACCACGUAUGGGAUCAAGACCAAGUAUGCACAAUCCAGAUGUACAGUUCAUCAAGAUCUCUGGGCAUCCUCUUCAGUAGUGGGAAUGAGUGUCCUAAGCAACUACACAGGUUUCACACUUCUAAGGCGACCAUGCUUUGGACCAUGACAACUGCACACAAUUUCUAGGCAACAUUAUUUUGUUAAGUGCAGAAAAUUUGGACUUUCUGGGUAAUGAAGAAUACGUAUACUGAGGGUGUGGGAAGAUGAAAGCCCUACACUAUGUUAAAUCUCAGAAAGCUAGGGGAACUUUGAACUGGUUCAUAAGAUGAAUUAUGCAUUUCAGCUGGAUCCUUUUGGUGCAGUCCCAGCUCUAUCAACGUGAGCAUCGGAGGAGAAUUCACAUCCAAUUCCCGCUGUCUGAAUUUAUCACCAGGAAGACAGGAUUAAUUACCAGAAAGAAGAAAAUGCUGACUCAGAAGAUCAAUUCAGGUCUCGAAUACUUACGUUGUCAAGGACUAAUAAAACAAGCCAUAGCCUCCGCCAAUGUAUGGAAAUGGAUUUGUCAGAUGUAUUCUCUUAAGUGAAUGUUAACUUAUCUUUAUUAAAUACCAUCAUACCGAGAGAGACUCCAUAUAGAAGAAAUAACUCUGGAAUAUGUUGUAGACCAGUGGUCCCCCAACCACUGACUUGGAAACCACGUAUGGCAUGCGACCCCCUACAGUACUGAGUUAUACAAUAAGCAGCUACAAUGUUUGAUUGAAAUGAUUGAAAAAUUUAUAGCCAAACAAGCAGAUUUCAUUGAAGGUUGAGUCUACCAACCAACCAUUGUCCCAAGCUGGCCAUUUACAUUAGAUGUCAUCUGAACAUUCUUAUAAACAACAAUUAUUGGUGUGGUCAAAUGUCUCUUUUUCAGUAGCAGGUGUGAUAAGCAGCUGCUAAACACCAUUCCCACUGCUUAGUUCAUGAUGAUAUGAAAGAUGAGAAAGGGUUCCUUCCAGUGAAUGU